GAUGAACGCUGGCGGCGUGCCUAAUACAUGCAAGUCGAGCGAACGGACGAGAAUUUUGCUUCUCUGAUGUUAGCGGCGGACGGGUGAGUAACACGUGGCUAACCUACCUAUAAGACUGGGAUAACUUCGGGAAACCGGAGCUAAUACCGGAUAAUAUUUUGAACCGCAUGGUUCAAAAGUGAAAGACGGUCUUGCUGUCACUUAUAGAUGGAUCCGCGCUGCAUUAGCUAGUUGGUAAGGUAACGGCUUACCAAGGCAACGAUGCAUAGCCGACCUGAGAGGGUGAUCGGCCACACUGGAACUGAGACACGGUCCAGACUCCUACGGGAGGCAGCAGUAGGGAAUCUUCCGCAAUGGGCGAAAGCCUGACGGAGCAACGCCGCGUGAGUGAUGAAGGUCUUCGGAUCGUAAAACUCUGUUAUUAGGGAAGAACAUAUGUGUAAGUAACUGUGCACAUCUUGACGGUACCUAAUCAGAAAGCCGCGGCUAACUACGUG
This 497-nucleotide ribosomal RNA is filed under the name uncultured bacterium. RNAcentral's name for it is "partial 16S ribosomal RNA". It matches the Rfam family "Bacterial small subunit ribosomal RNA", at positions 28 to 507 of the family's 1533-position model. The record is from RNAcentral.